Long non-coding RNA from Balaenoptera ricei (Rice's whale), 394 nucleotides. RefSeq lists it as uncharacterized. The transcript has 4 exons. The record is from RefSeq and is a predicted model, not a curated record. NCBI's taxonomy places the organism in Eukaryota, Metazoa, Chordata, Mammalia, Artiodactyla, Balaenopteridae.
AGACGUGGAGACGCGGGAGUCACGCUGACGCGCGCGCCAGGAAUGAAUUCCUGCGUGUCAUUUGUACCGGCCGGAUGGAGUGAGAGAGAAGAUGCUGAAGCAGUGUUCCCCAACAAGCCAGACUACAAUUAUGGGUUACUGACAGGAAGAUCACAGAGAGGAGGUGCCAUUCUUAUCACAUCACAUCAAGGGUACAUCCUACCAGUAUGACUUAUUGGUGACAACCCGGAUGACCUGGCCAAGAUGUUGGGGAAGUGGGGUGAGAACACAGCAGGCAAACUACUCUCCAUUAUAGUCAAGGGCCUGCUGUCAAACCAUCCUGGCACAUAAAGGCACAGAAAUUAAUUCUCAUUUUGAUCCAGUUUGUUUCAACACUUAAGAGUUCUCAUUAAGA